GGGGAUAAGCUGCCAAGAGCACUUAAGAUGUAGACUAGAUGCAGUAACUAAUUACCAAAUAAAAUUAGAGAUCAACUUGAGUAAGUUUUGUUUGUUAUAUAUUUGUGUUAUAUAAAGCUCAACAGAAAUAUAUUUAUUCACAGUUUCUAAAUAAAACGAGUACAGUGAAAUAGAUUAUGUUGAUUAAAGAAUCACUAAACAGGAUUCCUUACAUGUGUAUUUACUAUUAAUAUUUAGUGAAAGUAAAAGUAGCAUAUCAUCCCAUGGUCAGAGGCAGCAAUCAGUUCUGGGGAUUGAUAUACUCUCAAACCAGUAAUAGUGCAUUAAUAUAUAUUGUGAGGUAGAUAUAUAUGGCCUUAAAAUUUCUAGUUGAUCCUUGUAGCCUCUAGGAGAACACAUAUAUAGUCAUGAUCAGUUGUGCCUGGUGCAUAUAAAAAAUUUGACAUGCAAAUAUAUAUAUUUAUCAUAUAUAUAUAUUAAGUUUAUCACAUGCUUCGACUUUUAUCACAUGCCUUUCCCAGGGGGGGGAUCCAGUCAUUUUAAAAAGGGGGGUUCCCAACACAGGAUAAAGGCAACUGGGGUCUGCUCGACAGUCCGACAGUUCUAUAGUCCUACGGUUUAAUAGUCCGACGGUUUAAUAGUCCGACAGUUCUAUAGUCAAACGGUAUAAUAGUCCGACAGUUCUAUAGUCCGGCGGUUUAAUAGUCCGACAGUUCUAUAGUCCGAUAGUCCGACAUAUACAACCAGAUAUGAUAUAGACUAAUCUCAGGCAUUAGACGUUCUACCUGGGUUCAGACCUAACAUUUCCAAAACUGAAUCCCUGUUAUUGUUUUUAAAUUAUUUCAAAGACAAUCCCACUCCACACCAUUGUGUAGAUAAAUCAAUUUAGAUUAACGGCAUAAUAAGUUUAAGUAGGUUUUGCAACCAAGAAAUCGAAAUAAAACGGAAUUUCGCGACCAGGUGACAUUUUUCUAAAAUUUUAGUUAAGUACCUUGUGUUAUAUUAAGGUAUAUAUGAUUUUUUUUCUGAGACAAGUGCCUGUCCUUGGAUGCCCCCCUUCCGAAAACUAUGUCUGACAUAAAUGAUCUCUGACCAUCACAGCUGAACUUAGCUAAACAUAGGAUCCAAUGGAAAAUUCACAUAAAGGAUCUUCUUGUCUGGAACCAGUGGAAAUUAGGACGAAAUUUUGGUUGAAUGGUCCUUAGCUAUAGGUGGUCCCCUUCAAAAAAUAUUUCCUACAUCCUCAACCUGCGAACAAGAUAACCUCCACAAUAAAACUUAGUUUAAUACCGGCGUCACACAUUAGUGUAUAGCUCCGAUGUACGCCGGGUGUGGUGCAAAAUCCUGUACCCUGCCAAUACGCUAGUAAUUUUGGAUGCAUUAAUUCAACCUGUCAAUCAUAUCUGGAUCCUGUGCACACCGAGCAUUAAGCAUGUAUUGGACGUAAGUGAAGCGUACCAAAGUGUUAUUGGGCGGUGAAGUAACGUAUGUUGGGGUAUAUCUGGCAUUUGUCUAACGCCCGACAAACACUUUGGUACACUUCUCAUACGUCCAAUACAUGCUUAUAGCUCGUUGUGCACACGUUACAGAUAUGAUUGACAGGUUGAAUGCAUCCAAAAUUACUAGCUUGUUGGCAGCAUACAUAAUGUUUUAACACGCCCGGCGUAAGUCGGAGCUAUACGCUGAUGUGAGACGCUGGUAUUACAAACACCCCAUAAUAGAACGUCUAAGAUACAACCAGGACGUGUUUCAAAUACAUUCAAGAAACUUUUUUCCUUCGUAGCGUGCAUUCCAUCUACGUAAGACAAACGCCAUUAAUACGCCAACAUAUGUUACUUGAACGCCCGAUACACACCUAUAUACCCUUCUUGUACGCAUUAUACAUGCUUAAAGCUUGUUGUACAUACGAUACAGAUAUGAUUGACAAGUUGAAUGCAUCCAAAAUUACUAGCGUAUUGGCACCGUACAUAAUUAUUUACCACCCCCGGGUGUACGUCGGAGCUAUAUGCUGAUGUGUGACGCAGUUAUUAUGCAAUGCGCAUUAAAUGAUUGCUUAGCGUUCCUCAGGCGUGCAACUAAUGUGUACGGCCUUGGUCAAUUUUCUCUGUAUGUCUGGUGCACGCCUGUCUAUACGUCAAUGUGUGAAGCCGACAUAACAUAGGACCAUAUGAGAAAUUCACUUACAUAUUUCAUUGUCUGAAACAACUUAGCAAAAUGGAACCAUACUUGGCAGCAAUGGUCCUUGGGUGGUCCUGUUUCAGAAAAGAGUCCAAUGAUCGGGACCGCCGACCAAGAUGGCUGCCACACUGAACUUAGUAAUAUUUUACCCUUUAGGAAAUAACUUAAAGAUUUUGUUGUCUGAAACCAAAGAGCCAAUUUUAACUCUGGCUUACAAAUGAUGUCUUGAACAUGUAAGAAACAGCCAUCUUAAAAAUGAAAUAAUGCAGCAUUUGUAAGCUAGGGGGCAGCACUAGUCAGUCAAAUGAGUACUGUGAAUACGUGAGAACAGUCAUGUGUGACCAGAACUGACUUUAAAUGUGGAUUGAAUGAGGUCAAUUUAUUUACUUGCAGGUGAAUAAUUCAUCAGCAUUGUUUCUUUGUCUAUUUUGACAAAAUUGAACCAUUAUUUCACUGUUUGAUUUUCAUAAAUGAUUGAACCAUAACAAAAAAUGUUAACUGAUUUAUUCCUUUUCGCUAAUGUCCUUUUAAUUUACCCCUGUCCAUGCUCUGUUCGGUAUUAUUUUGGGUACAUGGUUGUUUGUCAAAAUGUUUAUGAUAGGACUUUCUUGGGUAGUCGAGUCAAGUUCUGCUGUAUAUCUUUCAUUGUGAACUUCAUUGAUACAUACACAGGAAAAUAAUUGCUGUCUUGUUUACUUUCAGAUUCACAAUUGUAUAAUGUAUACAUGAAAACUACAUCACAAUGGAGAAAAGGCAUCAAGAAUCUUUACGUAAAAACUGGGUUUUUCUUAUGGAUAGUUUAAUUUUGGAAGAUCUGCUUGACUUAAUGAUAGAAAAAGAAAUUUUUACACCAAGUAUGGGAGAAGAAGUUAGUGUGAAACAUACAAAAAAGGAUAAAGCUACACAGUUUUUAUUCACCUUAAUAAGACGAGGACCUAAAGCUUUUGACACAUUUGUUGAAUGUUUGAAUGAAUCCUCUCAAGACUUUAUAGCUGACAAAUUAAUUUCAACUUUGAAUGAAGAACCAAUGCAGCAAUAGUAUAUAAACAUUUGUUUUGUAAUAUUUAACCAUAGCUUGACUUCCAUAUAUUGACAAUUUACAUAACUCUUUUUAAUACAAUCAUACAUAAAAUUCUGUACAAAAGUAUUAUUUGUAUGUUUUAAUUUUUGUCUCUCACACAAAGAAUGUCAAGGGACACACUUUAUUCAGAUACCACUGGAAUUUGUAAGAACCUUGUUAUUUUAUAUUUCUCAAGCCCCCUGUUAUUUUUCAGGAGAAUGUAGUGAUUGCUUUGUCAAUCUGUCCUUUCUGUCUGUGCUACCAUUCACCUUUUUGGCCAUCUGAAUAUUUUGAAAUAUAUUGUUUCUUGAUGGUAACUUAAAUUUCCCUAUUACUUAUUGUUUUUUUUUUGUCAAAACUAGAGCAGUAACUUUUUUAUAAGUUGGUUUCCUUGAAAAUUGUAAAAAA
This 3646-nucleotide long non-coding RNA is filed under the name Mytilus galloprovincialis (Mediterranean mussel). The record is from RNAcentral. Lineage: Eukaryota; Metazoa; Mollusca; Bivalvia; Mytilida; Mytilidae.